UACGUAGGGGGCUAGCGUUAUCCGGAAUUACUGGGCGUAAAGGGUGCGUAGGUGGUUUCUUAAGUCAGAGGUGAAAGGCUACGGCUCAACCGUAGUAAGCCUUUGAAACUGGGAAACUUGAGUGCGGGAGAGGAGAGUGGAAUUCCUAGUGUAGCGGUGAAAUGCGUAGAUAUUAGGAGGAACACCGGUUGCGAAGGCGGCUCUCUGGACUGUAACUGACACUGAGGCACGAAAGCGUGGGGAGCAAACAGGAUUAGAUACCCUGGUAGUCCCUGAGCGGGCU
This 283-nucleotide ribosomal RNA is filed under the name uncultured prokaryote. Its description in RNAcentral is "partial 16S ribosomal RNA". It matches the Rfam family "Bacterial small subunit ribosomal RNA", at positions 524 to 817 of the family's 1533-position model. The record is from RNAcentral.